Molecule: long non-coding RNA, 451 nt
Organism: Urocitellus parryii (Arctic ground squirrel)
Lineage: Eukaryota; Metazoa; Chordata; Mammalia; Rodentia; Sciuridae
Source: RefSeq, a predicted model, not a curated record
ACCUGAAAGAUUCAACUGAGGGACAAGGGGGUAGAAAAGAAUAAAAUGAAGUUUAAGUCUAUUGUGAAAGUAAAGUAUGUGGUACGGAUAGCUAUUUGAGAGACACUAAGCAGUCAGAAAUGGAUGAUGGCCUGAUUAGAGUAUUCUCAGAGGAGUUUAUGGCAAAGUUCUUGCUGAGUUGCCCUGUCUGGCCUGGAACUUGCUACCCUCCUGCCUCAGCUGCAAUUACAGGCUCGUGCUACCUUGUUCAACAAUUAAAGGACUGUGCCCACACCGUUGACCUGCCGUGACAAUAGAGGGCGUUGUGUGUCUCCCUCUCCUUUCGUCUGCACUGGAAUGAUUUCCACAGAGAAGCCCACGUUCAAGGGUAUUUCCCUCCCUGUGUAACCCUGACCGAGGCCUCAUGAACUUGCUUGCAUUGUCUCAAAAAUGUACAGACAUCCAGGAGACA